RNAcentral lists this ribosomal RNA (468 nucleotides) under uncultured bacterium. RNAcentral describes it as "partial 16S ribosomal RNA". It matches the Rfam family "Bacterial small subunit ribosomal RNA", at positions 28 to 507 of the family's 1533-position model. The record is from RNAcentral.
GACGAACGCUGGCGGCGUGCUUAACACAUGCAAGUCGAACGGAAAGGCCCUGCUUUUGUGGGGUGCUCGAGUGGCGAACGGGUGAGUAACACGUGAGUAACAUGCCCUUGACUUUGGGAUAACUUCAGGAAACUGGGGCUAAUACCGGAUAGGAGCUCCUGCUGCAUGGGGGGGGUUGGAAAGUUUCGGCGGUUGUGGCUGGACUCGCGGCUUAUCAGCUUGUUGGUGGGGUAGUGGAUUCCGAAGGCUGUGACGGGUAGCCCGCCUGGGAGGGUGGCCGGGGACCUGGGUCCUGCGGGACGGCCCAGACUCGUACGGGACGCAGCGGUCGAGAACAUUGCACAAUGGGCGGAAGCGUGAGGCAGCGACCCCGCGAUCGUGAUGACGGCCUUCGGGUUGUAAACCGCUUUCGCCUGUGACGAAGCGGGAGUGACGGUAAUGGGUAAAGAAGCACCGGCUAACUACGUG